AUACGGAGGGGGUUAGCGUUGUUCGGAAUUACUGGGCGUAAAGCGUACGUAGGCGGACUGGAAAGUUGGGGGUGAAAUCCCGGGGCUCAACCCCGGAACUGCCUCCAAAACUUCCAAUCUAGAGAUCGAGAGAGGUGAGCGGAAUUCCAAGUGUAGAGGUGAAAUUCGUAGAUAUUUGGAGGAACACCAGUGGCGAAGGCGGCUCACUGGCUCGAUACUGACGCUGAGGUACGAAAGCGUGGGGAGCGAACAGGAUUAGAAACCCCAGUAGUCC
RNAcentral lists this ribosomal RNA (274 nucleotides) under uncultured bacterium. Its description in RNAcentral is "partial 16S ribosomal RNA". It matches the Rfam family "Bacterial small subunit ribosomal RNA", at positions 523 to 796 of the family's 1533-position model. The record is from RNAcentral.